RNAcentral lists this ribosomal RNA (497 nucleotides) under uncultured bacterium. RNAcentral describes it as "partial 16S ribosomal RNA". It matches the Rfam family "Bacterial small subunit ribosomal RNA", at positions 28 to 507 of the family's 1533-position model. The record is from RNAcentral.
GAUGAACGCUGGCGGCGUGCCUAAUACAUGCAAGUCGAGCGAACAGACGAGGAGCUUGCUCCUCUGACGUUAGCGGCGGACGGGUGAGUAACCCGUGGAUAACCUACCUCUAAGACUGGGAUAACUUCGGGAAACCGGAGCUAAUACCGGCUCAUAUAUUGAACCGCAUGGUUCAAUAGUGAAAGACGGUUUUGCUGUCACUUAUAGAUGGAUCCGCGCCGCAUUAGCUAGUUGGUAAGGUAACGGCUUACCAAGGCAACGAUGCGUAGCCGACCUGAGAGGGUGAUCGGCCACACUGGAACUGAGACACGGUCCAGACUCCUACGGGAGGCAGCAGUAGGGAAUCUUCCGCAAUGGGCGAAAGCUUGACGGAGCAACGCCGCGUGAGUGAUGAAGGUCUUCGGAUCGUAAAACUCUGUUAGUAGGGAAGAACAAAUGUGUAAGUAACUAUGCACGUCUUGACGGUACCUAAUCAGAAAGCCACGGCUAACUACGUG